Molecule: ribosomal RNA, 788 nt
Filed under: uncultured bacterium
Lineage: Bacteria
Description: bacterial SSU rRNA
Rfam family: Bacterial small subunit ribosomal RNA
Source: RNAcentral
GGCGUAAAGAGCUCGUAGGUGGUUUGUCGCGUUGUUCGUGAAAUCUCACGGCUUAACUGUGAGCGUGCGGGCGAUACGGGCAGACUUGAGUACUGCAGGGGAGACUGGGAUUCCUGGUGUAGCGGUGGAAUGCGCAGAUAUCAGGAGGAACACCGGUGGCGAAGGCGGGUCUCUGGGCAGUAACUGACGCUGAGGAGCGAAAGCGUGGGGAGCGAACAGGAUUAGAUACCCUGGUAGUCCACGCCGUAAACGGUGGGUACUAGGUGUGGGUUUCCUUCCUUGGGAUCCGUGCCGUAGCUAACGCAUUAAGUACCCCGCCUGGGGAGUACGGCCGCAAGGCUAAAACUCAAAGAAAUUGACGGGGGCCCGCACAAGCGGCGGAGCAUGUGGAUUAAUUCGAUGCAACGCGAAGAACCUUACCUGGGUUUGACAUGCACAGGACGCCGGCAGAGAUGUCGGUUCCCUUGUGGCCUGUGUGCAGGUGGUGCAUGGCUGUCGUCAGCUCGUGUCGUGAGACGUUGGGUUAAGUCCCGCAACGAGCGCAACCCUCGUCUUUAGUUACCAUCAUUUAGUUGGGUACUCUAAAGAAACCGCCGGUGAUAAGCCGGAGGAAGGUGGGGAUGACGUCAAGUCCUCAUGGCCCUUACGCGCUGGGCUACACACGUGCUACAAUGGCGACUACAGUGGGCUGCAAUCCCGCGAGGGUGAGCUAAUCUCCAAAAGUCGUCUCAGUUCGGAUUGUUCUCUGCAACUCGAGAGCAUGAAGGCGGAAUCGCUAGUAAUCGCGG